Molecule: ribosomal RNA, 1716 nt
Filed under: Tentoriceps cristatus (crested hairtail)
Lineage: Eukaryota; Metazoa; Chordata; Actinopteri; Scombriformes; Trichiuridae
Description: 16S ribosomal RNA
Rfam family: Bacterial large subunit ribosomal RNA (bases 97-1637)
Source: RNAcentral
CGCCAAAAAACUAGCCUCCACCAAAAACAACAAUAAAAAAUUUAUAACCCCUAAUUACCACGAACCUAAUACUAAACAAACCAUUUUCCCGCCUUAGUAUGAGCGACAGAAAAGGCCCCACCAGAGCAAUAGAAGUAGUACCGCAAGGGAAUGUUGAAAAAGAAAUGAAAUAAACCAGUAUUUAAGCCUAAAAAAGCAGAGACUAAAACUCGUACCUUUUGCAUCAUGAUUUAGCUAGCACCAAUCAAGCAAGAUGAGCCCUAGUUUGAGACCCCGAAACUAUGUGAGCUACUUCAAGCCAGCCUUUUAAAAGGGCAAACCCGUCUCUGUGGCAAAAGAGUGGGAAGAGCUUCAAGUAGAGGCGACAAACCUACCGAACCUAGUUAUAGCUGGUUGUCUGGGAAUUGAAUAUAAGUUCAGCCUUUAACAUUUCUUACCUCCUUUACCUUACAUUAUACCCCACAGACUAAAAGAAAGCUAAAGAGUUAAUCAAAGGGGGUCCAGCCCCUUUGAGAUAGGACACAACCUUACCAGAAGGAUAAAGAUCAUAUUAAACUAAAGGGUAAAGCCAACGUGGGCUUAAAAGCAGCCACCUUAUAAUUAACGCGUUAUAGCUAAAGCAAACCACACCCUUAAAUUCAGUUAACCUUAUCUUAGUCCACUUCUAUCUACCAGACCGUCCCAUGCCAACAUGGGAGCGUACAUGCUAAUAUGAGUAAUAAGAGAGCCCGGGCUCUCUCCCUGCACACGUGUACCCCGAAAUGAACCCCCACCGGAACUCAACGGCCCCAAACAAAGAGGGCAUUGGAUCUAAAGUAACCACCAAGAAAUCCCCCCAUAAAACCACCGUUAACCCCACACUGGUGUGCCCAUAAGGAAAGACCAAAAGAAGAAGAAGGAACUCGGCAAACAAUAAUAGAGCCUCGCCUGUUUACCAAAAACAUCGCCUCUUGAAACCCUAGAAUAAGAGGUCCCGUCUGCCCCGUGACUAUAUGUUUAACGGCCGCGGUAUUUUGACCGUGCGAAGGUAGCGUAAUCACUUGUCUUUUAAUUGUAGACCUGUAUGAAUGACUAGACGAGGGCUCAACUGUCUCCUCCUUCAAGUCAAUGAAAUUGAUCUCCCCGUGCAGAAGCGGGGUUGAAACCAUAAGACGAGAAGACCCUAUGAAGCUUCAGACACCCGGACAUAACGUGUCAAGUGACCCUAAAUCAAAAGACCAAAACCUAGCGAUUACAUGUCCCCUGUCUUCGGUUGGGGCGACCACGGGGAAAUAAAAAACCCCCGAGUGGAACGGUAAUAUACCUAAGCACAUAACCAUUCUACUAUAAUUAAGAGCUACAGCUCAAGCAAUCAGAACAUCUGACCAAUCAUGAUCCGGCUUAACGCCGAUUAACGGACCAAGUUACUCUAGGGAUAACAGCGCAAUCCCCUUUUUAGAGGCCGCAUCAACAAGGGGGUUUACGACCUCGAUGUUGGAUCAGGACAUCCUAAUGGUGCAGCCGCUAUUAAGGGUUCGUUUGUUCAACGAUUAAAGUCCUACGUGAUCUGAGUUCAGACCGGAGCAAUCCAGGUCAGUUUCUAUCUAUGUUUUAUUCUUUUCUAGUACGAGAGGACCGAAAAGAAAAGGCCCAUAUUAAUAGUACGCCUUCCCCCUCCCUAAUGAAAACAACUAAAAAAGAUUAAGGGGUACACUACCACACUAAAGAUAAUGGUGU